Caenorhabditis elegans is the source of this 153-nucleotide non-coding RNA. NCBI's taxonomy places the organism in Eukaryota, Metazoa, Nematoda, Chromadorea, Rhabditida, Rhabditidae. The record is from Ensembl.
UUUUUUGCGCAAAACAAUUGAAAUAUGUUCUAAAUAACUCCUCAUUCAAAAAUAUCAAGGAAUUUUAAUGCAACAAUUCGAGAAGUGGGCGUGGUCGGACGGGCGCUGGUCUGCAACGCGCGCGCGCGUUUUUCGCAACGCCACCGCACGCUU